This 253-nucleotide ribosomal RNA is filed under the name uncultured bacterium. RNAcentral describes it as "partial 16S ribosomal RNA". It matches the Rfam family "Bacterial small subunit ribosomal RNA", at positions 524 to 776 of the family's 1533-position model. The record is from RNAcentral.
UACAGAGGUCCCAAGCGUUGUUCGGAUUCACUGGGCGUAAAGGGUGCGUAGGUGGCGGGGUAAGUCGGAUGUGAAAUCUCGGAGCUCAACUCCGAAACUGCAUUGGAAACUACCCUGAUAGAGGGUCGGAGGGGGGACUGGAAUUCUCGGUGUAGCAGUGAAAUGCGUAGAUAUCGAGAGGAACACCAGUGGCGAAGGCGAGUCCCUGGACGACUCCUGACACUGAGGCACGAAAGCUAGGGGAGCAAACAGG